RNAcentral lists this small RNA (78 nucleotides) under Flavobacterium chilense. RNAcentral's name for it is "Flavo-1 RNA". It matches the Rfam family "Flavo-1 RNA". The record is from RNAcentral. Lineage: Bacteria; Pseudomonadati; Bacteroidota; Flavobacteriia; Flavobacteriales; Flavobacteriaceae.
GCCUAGCCCUGAUAGCAGCGGUAUCCUUUUUGUUUUUUCUUUAAAAACAAAAAGAUAUAGCGGAUAGCAGGAAAUAGC